CCCCAUCUCUACUAAAAAUACAAAAUUAGCUGGGCGUGGUGGCGCAUGCCUGUAAUCCCAGCAACUCGGGAGGCUGAGGCAUGAGAACUGCUUGAAACCGGGAGGCGGAGGUUGCAGUGAGCCGAGAGUGUGCCACUGCACUCCAUGCUGGAUGACAGAGCGAGACUGUCUCAAAAAAAAAAAAAAAAAGAUUUUAUUAACAAAGGGUCCCGCUGCAAAAUGACACAACACAACCAACAUCUGCAAACAGAGAACACCCAGCCAAGAGCACAGGCUUUGCAGCUGGCAGAUCCCAAAUCAUCACUUCAGGCCUGCUCGCUGGUCCCUGGACCUCGGGAACAUCGCUUUGCUGCUCUGACUUUCAUUCUUCCCUGCACAGAGAGGUCACGAUGCCUCUUCCCGGGGCUGCGAGGAAAAUGAUCUGCACUGGCGUGAGCAGAGAACCUCUCCUCAGCGGUGCUCAGUACAGGUUUGCUGCAGGGAUCUAGGCAGCAAACGGGGCUGUCCUCCGGAGCAGUCUCUGGAGGGCAGAUGCAGUCCCCGCCCUCUCUGAGCCCCAGUGUCUCGUCUCUCUAGUGGGGCACUGGCUGCCACCCUGGGCAGAAACUAUGGAGCAGAGGUGAGGCCUGGCGGAGGUCUGGUUCCUGACAGAGUCCCCAGAGCCUGGCCCAGGGAAGGUGUUCAGCAAAUGGCGACCACCACCUGCUGGCGCGUGAGAGCUCCUCGCCCUGUUGACUGUGACUGCAUCUGCUGUGUCUGGGGUGGACCUGUCCUGGCACACACUCAUCUCUGUGUACACACCCACCACACCCCACACCACACACCCACUCACCACACACCCACCACACCCCAUACCAUACACCCACUCACCACACACUCACCCCCACACACACCACACACCCACUCACCACUCACUCACCCCCACACACACCACCCACUCACCACACACUCACCCCCACACACACCACACGCCCACUCACCACUCACCCACACACACACCACCCACUCACCACACACUCACCCCC
Molecule: long non-coding RNA, 1025 nt
Filed under: Homo sapiens (human)
Lineage: Eukaryota; Metazoa; Chordata; Mammalia; Primates; Hominidae
Description: HSALNT0278484
Source: RNAcentral